CUACGGGAGGCAGCAGUGGGGAAUCCUACGGGAUGCAGCAGUGGGGAAUAUUGGACAAUGGGCGCAAGCCUGAUCCAGCCAUGCCGCGUGAGUGAUGAAGGCCCUAGGGUUGUAAAGCUCUUUCACCGGUGAAGAUAAUGACGGUAACCGGAGAAGAAGCCCCGGCUAACUUCGUGCCAGCAGCCGCGGUAAUACGAAGGGGGCUAGCGUUGUUCGGAUUUACUGGGCGUAAAGCGCACGUAGGCGGACUUUUAAGUCAGGGGUGAAAUCCCGGGGCUCAACCCCGGAACUGCCUUUGAUACUGGAAGUCUUGAGUAUGGAAGAGGUGAGUGGA
This 334-nucleotide ribosomal RNA is filed under the name Pseudochrobactrum sp. RNAcentral describes it as "bacterial SSU rRNA". It matches the Rfam family "Bacterial small subunit ribosomal RNA", at positions 315 to 665 of the family's 1533-position model. Lineage: Bacteria; Pseudomonadati; Pseudomonadota; Alphaproteobacteria; Hyphomicrobiales; Brucellaceae. The record is from RNAcentral.